AUGGCGACCGGCGCACGGGUGAGUAACACGUAUCCAACCUGCCGAUAACUCGGGGAUAGCCUUUCGAAAGAAAGAUUAAUACCCGAUAGCAUAAUGAUUCCGCAUGGUUUCAUUAUUAAAGGAUCCGGUAAAGGAUGGGGAUGCGUUCCAUUAGGUUGUUGGUGAGGUAACGGCUCACCAAGCCUUCGAUGGAUAGGGGUUCUGAGAGGAAGGUCCCCCACAUUGGAACUGAGACACGGUCCAA
Molecule: ribosomal RNA, 244 nt
Filed under: uncultured bacterium
Lineage: Bacteria
Description: partial 16S ribosomal RNA
Rfam family: Bacterial small subunit ribosomal RNA
Source: RNAcentral